AUGCAGGUAGUCAGUCAGACGAGUAGUAGCACCCACAUUUUGUCUAAAUAUGUGCCGGAGGUUAACCAAGAAAGAGACUGGAUCGGUGGCGUUCUCCCCUGUAAAAAGGCCAUGUAUUUUCUUUCUCUUCCUCCCCCUCUUAUCUCUAACCUAGUAGGAGGUUUCGAUGGAUCUCUCUUCUUUUCUGCGACCGUUCUUGGACUGGAACGAUGUGAAUUGGCUGAUCUUGUAAGGAUGUCGGUAGCAAUGUCUCUCUCCUCUGUGUGUCUGCUCACGCUGGCUGUAGAACUAAUUCAGUUACCUGAGUCAGUGGGGGAGAACCUGGUGUGA
RNAcentral lists this ribosomal RNA (330 nucleotides) under Triticum aestivum (bread wheat). RNAcentral describes it as "partial small subunit ribosomal RNA". The record is from RNAcentral. Lineage: Eukaryota; Viridiplantae; Streptophyta; Magnoliopsida; Poales; Poaceae.